UACGUAGGGUGCAAGCGUUGUCCGGAAUUAUUGGACGUAAAGAGCUCGUAGGCGGUUCGUCGCGUCGGCUGUGAAAACCCGGAGCUCAACUCCGGGCCUGCAGUCGAUACGGGCGGACUUGAGUGUUGCAGGGGAGACUGGAAUUCCUGGUGUAGCGGUGAAAUGCGCAGAUAUCAGGAGGAACACCGGUGGCGAAGGCGGGUCUCUGGGCAACUACUGACGCUGAGGAGCGAAAGCGUGGGGAGCGAACAGG
Molecule: ribosomal RNA, 253 nt
Filed under: uncultured bacterium
Lineage: Bacteria
Description: partial 16S ribosomal RNA
Rfam family: Bacterial small subunit ribosomal RNA
Source: RNAcentral